Molecule: unclassified non-coding RNA, 247 nt
Filed under: Hevea brasiliensis (rubber tree)
Lineage: Eukaryota; Viridiplantae; Streptophyta; Magnoliopsida; Malpighiales; Euphorbiaceae
Source: RNAcentral
GCUAGACCGAUGAGGAAAUCGACAUAAAGAUCAAUUUUGUAUUCUUGUGCACGGGAGGAGAAUGGCAAGUAAUAGUUCUCGAUGAAAUCGUUGGUGCCAAUGCUGAUAAUGUAGAGGGCGUCGCUGAGUCUCUUGUUGGCCUCUGCCUCUCCUAGAUGAGCUCGGAGUUUAACUUGAUAUUCUUUGAAGUAGGCAACCUCUUUCGAUAGAGGGAUGACAGACAGCACAUUCGACGUCUCCUUAUCCA